UAUGUCUCCGUCAACUCUCACCGUUCCAAGAUGCUUAUACAGUACAUCAUUUAUAUUUGUUCGUUUGACCAUAUAAUGAACAGAACACACAAACAAGAAACCCAAAUCAUACCAACACUGAAAAGAAGAGACAAUAAGAAGCAUUCUUUCUUUCAACAUCACAGACAUUGGCAACUCUAGGAUGUCUAUACAGAGGGAUAAAAAG
RNAcentral lists this long non-coding RNA (205 nucleotides) under Homo sapiens (human). RNAcentral's name for it is "HSALNT0167502". Lineage: Eukaryota; Metazoa; Chordata; Mammalia; Primates; Hominidae. The record is from RNAcentral.